RNAcentral lists this ribosomal RNA (439 nucleotides) under uncultured bacterium. RNAcentral describes it as "SSU rRNA". It matches the Rfam family "Bacterial small subunit ribosomal RNA", at positions 26 to 518 of the family's 1533-position model. The record is from RNAcentral.
AGAAUGAACGCUAGCGAUAUGCUUAACACAUGCAAGUUGAACGUUGUUUUCGAAUCAGAAUGAGAACAAAGUAGCGAACGGGUGCGUAACACGUGGGAAUCUGCCGAACAGUUUGGGCCAAAUCCCGAAUGAAUAAAAGCUAAAAAGCGCUGUUUGAUGAGCCCACGUAGUAUUAGGUAGUUGGUUAGGUAAAAGCUGACCAAGCCUACGAUGCUUAGCUGGUCUUUUCGGAUGAUCAGCCACACUGGGACUGAGACACGGCCCCAGACUCCUACGGGAGGCAGCAGUGGGGAAUCUUGGACAAUGGGCGAAAGCCUGAUCCGGCAAUAUGGCGUGAGUGAAGAAGGGCAACGCAGCUUGUAAAGCUCUUUCAUCGAGUGUGCGAUUGUGACAAGACUACGAAUAAGAAGCCCCGGCUAACCUCCGCGCCAGCAGCCGC